Molecule: small nucleolar RNA, 138 nt
Organism: Tachyglossus aculeatus (Australian echidna)
Lineage: Eukaryota; Metazoa; Chordata; Mammalia; Monotremata; Tachyglossidae
Source: RefSeq, a predicted model, not a curated record
CCCCUCUCAGGGUCACACCUGGAGAGUUUCCAGUACUCUGCUAGUUUCAGCUAUGAGAGGGAGAGUCAAGCAGAGGCCUACCCUUUCCAUUCCUAGCUUGGCCAGUGGCUAGAGAGUGGAAGGCAAUCUGCUACAAGU